GAUGGCGGCGACAGCGGCCGCGGUGGUGCCGGAGGAGGACACGGAGCUGCGGGACCUGCUGGUGCAGACGCUGGAGAACAGCGGCGUUCUGAACCGCAUCAAGGCCGAACUCCGAGCAGCUGUGUUUUUAGCACUAGAAGAGCAAGAAAAAGUAGAGAACAAAACUCCUCUAGUCAAUGAGAGCCUGAGAAAGUUUUUAAGUACGAAAGACGGCCGGCUGGUGGCUAGUCUCGUUGCGGAGUUUCUCCAGUUUUUCCAUCUUGACUUCACGUUGGCCGUUUUUCAACCCGAAACCAGCACAUUUCAAAGUCUUGAAGGCCGAGAGAACUUGGCCCGAGAUCUAGGUAUUAUCGAGGCAGAAGGUACUGUGGGCGGACCGUUGUUACUGGAGGUGAUCAGACGUUGUCAGCAGAAGGAGAGAGGGCCACCCAAUGGGGAGGGUGCACUAGAGCUGUCCGAUGUUCAUUCUCCACCAAAGUCACCAGAAGGCAAAACCAGCGCUCACAGCAAUACCAGUAAGAUACCAAGGUAUAAAGGACAAGGUAAGAAGAAGACAAGCGGGCAGAAGUCUGGUGCCAAGAAGGCCAGCAGUGAUACCAGUCAGAGUGACACGAGCGUCUCCUCAUCAGAACCAAAGAGCAGAAGCAGCCUCCACUUGCUGGCCCACGAAACCAAAAUUGGAUCUUUCUUAAGUAACAAAAGUCUAGAUGUCAAAGACAAAGCCGGUCUUUGUCCAGACGAAGAUGAUAUGGAAGGGGAUUCUUUCUUCGACGAUCCCAUUCCUAAACCGGAAAAAACUUACGGUUGGAGAAGUGAAGCUGGUGAGCACGCAGGAAGCCUCGCCUCGCUCUCCGACGCGCCCCCCUUGAAGAGUGGACUCAGCUCGCUCGCCGGAGCGCCCUCGUUGAAGGACUCUGAGAGUAAACGAGGAAGCACAGUUUUAAAAGAUCUGAAAUUGGUCAGUGAUAAAAUUGGAUCACUUGGAUUAGGGACCGGAGAGGACGACGACUACGCAGACGACUUCAACAGCACCAGCCAUCGCUCAGAGAAAAGUGAGCUCAGUAUUGGGGAAGAGAUCGAGGAGGAUCUUUCUGUGGAAAUUGAUGACCUCAACACCAGUGAUAAAGUACGGUGCGGCCGUGGCCUGCGGAGCGCUGCUCGCGCCUGUGUCUCUUGCUGGGGGCGACUGUACAGGGUCAACAAUUAAAGAAAGGCAAUUGAAGGCUGUGACAUGACCUUUCCUGGCCCAGGUUCUGGAGUCAGAACUGGCUACCUCAGCAGUGCAGUCAGCGGACGCGAGAGUCCUGUUUGGGGAAGGCAGGAUAGAAAUCGCUUGAUGACCUGACCCAGGACCUGACCGUGUCCCAGCUCAGUGACGUUGCCGAUUAUCUGGA
Molecule: RNA transcript, 1394 nt
Organism: Enhydra lutris kenyoni (northern sea otter)
Lineage: Eukaryota; Metazoa; Chordata; Mammalia; Carnivora; Mustelidae
Gene: CEP43
Gene name: FGFR1 oncogene partner
Exons: 13
Source: RefSeq, a predicted model, not a curated record